This 616-nucleotide long non-coding RNA is filed under the name Mus musculus (house mouse). Its description in RNAcentral is "predicted gene 13663". Lineage: Eukaryota; Metazoa; Chordata; Mammalia; Rodentia; Muridae. The record is from RNAcentral.
CCAGGUCCAUUCCUGGGUUCCCAGAAAAUGUCUACAAGUCAUAUAUUUUGCAGAGGCUUAUAAAGGCAAACCCAUAAGGUUACAUUUUUCUCAGCAGGUCCAAUCAGCGGCAAGCAUAUAUCCUGAAGCACUUCUUGUCUGUGUACCUCCCACUUACAUCCAAUCAGGGGCAAGCAUACAUCCUGACGUAUUUCCUGCCUACGUACCUCACACCUACAUCCAGUACGAUUAGGCCAAAUAAACUUGUUUAAGGGAGUGAAGCAUGUGGCUUGUUUUCUCCCAUAAGCAAUAGCUUCCAGCAUUUCGGGGAAAGAUCUGUCCUUGGGCAAGACACUUAAAGGUUAGCAACAGUUUUUUGUUCCAUGGAUCUCUUAGGCACAGUAAUUAAAACUUAAAACAUACCUUUUUGGCUCUUACAACGUUUGCCUUGCAAGCCAGAGGACCCGAGUUUGAUCCCCUUCAGAUCCUGUCAGCUUUUCAGGCAACGGGCAGAAUCCAGAAAGGUAACAGCACAAGGAUAUGGGAAUCUUUGCAGGACCGGUGGCUUUCCUUCCUUCCUUUUUCCAUUUAUCCUUUCUUUAGAAGGCAGAUAAGGCGGCAUUAUUGAUUGAGGAGU